AUGCCCAGCGUGGAGCCCAGUGUAGGGCUUGAACUCAAGCCCCCAAGAUCAAGAUCUGAGCUGAGAUCAUGUGUCAGAUGCUUAACCAACUGAGCCACCCAGGUUAAACUGUAUCUGCUACCAAAUCAGAAGAAAAGGUUCCUGCCAUGAGAAGUGCACACAGACUUUCUAAGAGAAGUCCUGGAGGCUCAAGGAACUUUUUCUAAUCUUUCCAGGAGAUGGGACCCACCCUUGGCUUCUUUCUAUGCCAGUGUUCCUCACACAUCCUGGAUUUGACAAACACAGGGAAAAAAUUGCCUGUUAUAGAGAAUCUCAGUCCAGACUUAUUACAGGGAAAAUAAUCAUCUUGGUGCUCAGAAUACU
This is a long non-coding RNA of Panthera uncia (snow leopard), 363 nucleotides long. RefSeq lists it as uncharacterized. The record is from RefSeq and is a predicted model, not a curated record. NCBI's taxonomy places the organism in Eukaryota, Metazoa, Chordata, Mammalia, Carnivora, Felidae. The transcript has 3 exons.